RNAcentral lists this ribosomal RNA (350 nucleotides) under Acrapex sp. ACASG4055. Its description in RNAcentral is "partial 12S small subunit ribosomal RNA". The record is from RNAcentral. Lineage: Eukaryota; Metazoa; Arthropoda; Insecta; Lepidoptera; Noctuidae.
AAAAUUUAAAAUUAAAAUACUAAAAUAGUAAAUAAAUUUUAUUGAAACUUAAAUAAUUUGGCGGUAUUUUAGUACAUUUAGAGGAAUCUGUUUAAUAAUUGAUAUUCCACGAAUAAACUUACUUAAUUUAUAAUUUUGUAUAUCGUUGUUAAAAAAAUAUUUUUUAAUAAAAUUAAUAUUUAAAAAUUAUUAUGAAAAUUUAAAUCAGAUCAAGAUGCAGAUUAUAAUUAAGAAUAUAAUGGAUUACAAUAAAUUUAUUUAAAUGAAUAUUAAUUUGUAAGAAUUAAUUGAAAGUGGAUUUAAAUGUAAUUUUAUUUAAUUUAAUAAAAUGAUUAAAAAUUAAAAUAUGU